Molecule: unclassified non-coding RNA, 275 nt
Organism: Cavia porcellus (domestic guinea pig)
Lineage: Eukaryota; Metazoa; Chordata; Mammalia; Rodentia; Caviidae
Gene: 7SK
Rfam family: 7SK RNA
About the family: 7SK was discovered as an abundant small nuclear RNA in the mid-70s but a possible function has only recently been suggested.
Source: Ensembl
GGAUGUGAGAGUGUCUGGCUGUGACGUCUGUCACCCUAUUGACCACCUGGGCUGACUUGGCUGAUCUGGCUAGGUGUCCCCUUCCUCGUUCCCACUGCAUGUGUGUCCCUUCUGCUGCACUUGGUCAGAGAGGAUGACCACCCACAACAGAGGAGGACUGUUUCCUGUUCUGGUCAAGGGUAUGGGAAUAGCCACACUCACCUAUUAAAACCUUGAGACAAACUCGCAAUAUAAGUGCUUUUUAUUGUCAAUACAAAUGAAAAAUAUUUGCAUUU